CUACGGGCGGCAGCAGUGAGGAAUAUUGGUCAAUGGGCGCAAGCCUGAACCAGCCAUGCCGCGUGCAGGAUGACGGUCCUAUGGAUUGUAAACUGCUUUUGUACAGGAAGAAACACUCCCUCGUGAGGGAACUUGACGGUACUGUAAGAAUAAGGAUCGGCUAACUCCGUGCCAGCAGCCGCGGUAAUACGGAGGAUCCAAGCGUUAUCCGGAAUCAUUGGGUUUAAAGGGUCCGUAGGCGGUUUUAUAAGUCAGUGGUGAAAUCUGGUCGCUCAACGAUCAAACGGCCAUUGAUACUGUAGAACUUGAAUUACGUGGAAGUAACUAGAAUAUGUAGUGUAGCGGUGAAAUGCUUAGAGAUUACAUGGAAUACCAAUUGCGAAGGCAGGUUACUACGAGUACAUUGACGCUGAUGGACGAAAGCGUGGGGAGCGAACAGGAUUAGAUACCCGCGUAGUC
This 459-nucleotide ribosomal RNA is filed under the name uncultured bacterium. RNAcentral's name for it is "partial 16S ribosomal RNA". It matches the Rfam family "Bacterial small subunit ribosomal RNA", at positions 339 to 795 of the family's 1533-position model. The record is from RNAcentral.